RNAcentral lists this ribosomal RNA (211 nucleotides) under Neodevriesia lagerstroemiae. RNAcentral's name for it is "partial large subunit ribosomal RNA". The record is from RNAcentral. Lineage: Eukaryota; Fungi; Ascomycota; Dothideomycetes; Mycosphaerellales; Neodevriesiaceae.
AAGCGCUUGCGACCAGACUUGUCGGCGGUGUUCCGCCGGUCUUCUGACCGGUCUACUCGCCGUCGGCAGGCCAGCAUCAUCUGGGGCCGCCGGAUAAAGGCUUUGGGAAUGUAGCUCCCCUCGGGGAGUGUUAUAGCCCUUUGCACAAUACGGUGCGCCUCGGGUGAGGUCCGCGUCUAGGCAAGGAUGCUGGCGUAAUGGUUGUAAGCGG